UCCAUUUAGUUGCUGCAGCUGUUGACACAGCUAAUCAUCGCGAUGGCGUCCACCCAUCUUUUAAAGGCGUCUGACUCAGCAGCCAUCUGAAGAGGACUGAGGGCUAAGCCGGCAAAAGUAUUUCUUGGGCGGCCCCCCCCCAUCAGAAGCCAGUGCAGAAGAGACCACUACAGAGCACAUCCAUAGGCUCCACUCCCGGAUCUCUAGGUAUUGUUCAAGCAAGAAUUUGCAACCCUAAGACUGGGGAAGCUGAGGAUGGAGGAGCAACAGAUGUCUUACUCUAGAAUAUAACAGAUAUUAUGUGUAGUGCACACACCGCUUGCAGAUGAAGUACGUUGGCAGUUUGAUUGUGGCAGGAGGGAGGCAAGCUGCAUGAUACCAUCGUCUGCAGCUGCAGCAAGAACACCAUGCGGUCUUCAGGGGUGAAGUUGCCCUGGCCUGACUCUUCUGGGCAAGUCGACCAUCCGCUGGAUCCUUUAUCGACUGACGGCAGAAGAUCGCGUAGCAGAGGUUGCUCCCGUGCACGU
Long non-coding RNA from Eublepharis macularius, 527 nucleotides. RefSeq lists it as uncharacterized. NCBI's taxonomy places the organism in Eukaryota, Metazoa, Chordata, Lepidosauria, Squamata, Eublepharidae. The record is from RefSeq and is a predicted model, not a curated record. The transcript has 3 exons.